Molecule: long non-coding RNA, 1714 nt
Organism: Micropterus salmoides (largemouth bass)
Lineage: Eukaryota; Metazoa; Chordata; Actinopteri; Centrarchiformes; Centrarchidae
Exons: 3
Source: RefSeq, a predicted model, not a curated record
AGUGUCAUGGCUGCCAGGGACGCCGCCUCUUCGUGUUGCCACAACACGGCUGUCCGUGUGGUCUACAUUUGAGGCAGUGAUGGAAGAAGUAUUCAGAUCUUUCACUUUAAUAAAAGUUGCAAUACCACCGUGUAGAAACACUCUGUUACAAAGUAAAAGUCCUGCAUUCAAAUAAGUAAAAGUAUACAAUAUUAAAGUACCAAAAGUACUCAUUAUGCAGAAUGGCCCAUUUCUGAAUAAUUAGUGAUGUUAACUAAUGCCGCAGCUGGUUAAGGUCGAGCUAAUUUCAGCUACUUUAUAUAGGCCAAUCAAGAUUGAAUUGCAUUGAUAGGCUUACUUUCAGGUAGUUUAAUCCAUUAAAAUGAAUUAUAAUAGGCCUAUUAGUUGAUUUACAAUUUGUAUUAAAAUCUGAAUCUGCAUAGUAACUAGUAACUAAAACUGUCAAAUAAAUUUGAACAAAAAGUACAAUAUUUCCCUCGUUGUAGUGGAAUAGAAGUAUGAAGUAGCAUUAAAUAAAAAUGCUCAAGUACCUCAGAAAUAGCCUACAGUACUUGAGUAAAUGUGCUUAGCCUAUUCCACAUCUGAUUUUAGGCAUUUUUCAAAUUCAGUGGCACUGUUUCCACCAGAGAGAAGGAUGAAAAAAAGGAAUCAAUCUGAAAACUGUGGUUGCACCUUUUAUUAAUCAGCUCCUCCUCCUACACUUGACUCAUAAAUCACAAGGUGUGAAUUACCGGUUGCAAACAGGUUGCAAAUGAUAACUCUAAAGAGCAGUUUAUCAAUUUCAUAAUAUCAGAACAUUUUGUAAUUAUGUUCCCAAGUAGCCCAUUUACAUUUUUGUAAAUUUGCUCUCCUCGUAAGUAACUGCAAAGGAGUGUAAACAGAGACAGGGCUAACUCUAGCAUCAUAGCAUCACUGUUGAUUUGCUGUUGUAAUGUAAAUUAUCCGACCAAGCAUCAACACUGAAGCAUAAAACGAUUCAUACACAGAGAUGUCUAGGUUUUUGUUCCCGCUUUGACGCUCCCAGGAUGUGAGCUAAUGCAUCAGAUCCCGGGUGCUAUUUCAAAGAGUGGUGUGGUGAAAUGGAGCUCCUGCUGCUUUUCCUAUGAGGUGGAAAUUUAAAGAAAUUCCCUCAUGGAAAAUGGAAUGGACAUACAGACAACCUGAAAACACAAUGCUUCUGGCCACGGCUAUCGGCGCAGAGGCAUAAAAGGAGAGAAUGUUUUAUUCCUUGAACUGUCAAAUUCUGCCUGUCAGCCAUGUUUUAGUUUUGUACUAUUUUUGGUCAGUUGAGUAUUUGUUAUUUUGGUCUGUUGUGUUUUGGGGUUCUGUCUUGUUUGUUGUCCUGUGUCUAGUCUGUGUUUAUGGUGAGAUCUGCCGUUUUGUUGUCUGUUUGGUUCUGUGUUAAUCUGUUUUUGUUCUGUUAUUGUAGUCUGUUGUCUGUGUUGUCCUGUUAUCUUGUCUCCCUUAUCCACUCUGUGUUCUUGAUUCUAAGAUUUGGGUUUUGCAUCCACAUUUUAGUUGAAUUGAGUUUAGUUCACUGUGAGAUUACUUAUUGAUCAGUUUGGUAUCUGUUAUUUAGUCUGGGUUAUUAUUUAUGUAGUUAUUAUCUGUCAGAUAGUGUUUAGCGGUGUUUUGGUAUUUUCAUUAUUUCCAUUCUGUUCCUUGUUGAGUGUUGUCCUGUUUCCUGGUUAGUUCUGUCUCUGUUCCCUACCCC